ACGCUGGCGGCAAGCCUAACACAUGCAAGUCGAGCGGUAGCAUUAGAGGUAUUUUCUCUAGAUGACAAGCGGCGGACGGGUGAGUAAUAUCUGGGAAACUGCCUAAUGAUGGGGGAUAACUAUUGGAAACGGUAGCUAAUACCGCAUAAUGUCGAAAGACCAAAGUGGGGUUUUUUAUAAUUUCAUGUCAUUAGAUGUGCCCAGACGGGAUUAGCUAGUAGGUGAGAUAAUAGCUCACCUAGGCUACGAUCCCUAGCUGGUCUGAGAGGAUGACCAGCCACACUGGAACUGAGACACGGUCCAGACUCCUACGGGAGGCAGCAGUGGGGAAUAUUGCACAAUGGGCGAAAGCCUGAUGCAGCUAUGCCGCGUGUGUGAAGAAGGCCUUCGGGUUGUAAAGCACUUUCAGCGAGGAGGAAGUUUAAUUUUUUAAUAAAAGAUUAAAUUGACGUUACUUGCAAAAGAAGCACCGGCUAACUCCGUGCCAGCAGCCGCGGUAAUACGGAGGGUGCAAGCGUUAAUCGGAAUUACUGGGCGUAAAGAGCACGUAGGCGGUUUGUUAAGUCAGGUGUGAAAUCCCUACGCUUAACGUAGGAAUGGCGUUUGAAACUAUCAAACUAGAGUUUUGUAGAGGGGGGUAGAAUUCCAGGUGUAGCGGUGAAAUGCGUAGAGAUCUGGAGGAAUACCAGUGGCGAAGGCGACCCUCUGGACAAAGACUGACGCUCAGGUGCGAAAGCGUGGGUAGCAAACAGGAUUAGAUACCCUGGUAGUCCAUGCUGUAAACGAUGUCGAUUUGGAGGUUGUGCCCUUGAGGUGUGGCUUCCGGAGCUAACGCGUUAAAUCGACCGCCUGGGGAGUACGACCGCAAGGUUAAAACUCAAAUGAAUUGACGGGGGCCCGCACAAGCGGUGGAGCAUGUGGUUUAAUUCGAUGCAACGCGAAAAACCUUACCUACUCUUGACAUCCAGAGAACUUUUUAGAGAUAGAAAGGUGCUUUAUUGAACUCUGAGACAGGUGCUGCAUGGCUGUCGUCGGCUCGUGUUGUGAAAUGUUGGGUUAAGUCCCGCAACGAGCGCAACCCUUAUCCUUUGUUGCCAGCGACUAGGUCGGGAACUCAAAGGAGACUGCCGGUGAUAAACCGGAGGAAGGUGGGGAUGACGUCAAGUCAUCAUGGCCCUUACGAGUAGGGCUACACACGUGCUACAAUGGCAUAUACAAAGAGAAGCAACCUUGUAAGAGCAAGCGGACCUCAUAAAGUAUGUCGUAGUCCGGAUUGGAGUCUGCAACUCGACUCCAUGAAGUCGGAAUCGCUAGUAAUCGUAGAUCAGAAUGCUACGGUGAAUACGUUCCCGGGCCUUGUACACACCGCCCGUCACACCAUGGGAGUGGGUUGCAAAAGAAGCAGGUAUCCUAACCUUAUUUAUAAGGAAGGCGCUUACCACUUUGUGAUUCAU
Molecule: ribosomal RNA, 1454 nt
Filed under: Serratia symbiotica
Lineage: Bacteria; Pseudomonadati; Pseudomonadota; Gammaproteobacteria; Enterobacterales; Yersiniaceae
Description: bacterial SSU rRNA
Rfam family: Bacterial small subunit ribosomal RNA
Source: RNAcentral